GUGUCCGUGGUGUAGCGGCAGCACAUCUCCUUGUGACGGAGACGGCGCCGGUUCGAAUCCGGUCGGACACCCCA
This 74-nucleotide transfer RNA is filed under the name Aeromicrobium panaciterrae. RNAcentral describes it as "tRNA-His". It matches the Rfam family "tRNA". From Rfam's summary of the family: Transfer RNA (tRNA) molecules are approximately 80 nucleotides in length. Their secondary structure includes four short double-helical elements and three loops (D, anti-codon, and T loops). The record is from RNAcentral. Lineage: Bacteria; Bacillati; Actinomycetota; Actinomycetes; Propionibacteriales; Nocardioidaceae.